RNAcentral lists this ribosomal RNA (118 nucleotides) under Halomonas sp. SUBG004. Its description in RNAcentral is "partial 16S ribosomal RNA". It matches the Rfam family "Bacterial small subunit ribosomal RNA", at positions 1 to 111 of the family's 1533-position model. RNAcentral also lists the same sequence under 1 other name. The record is from RNAcentral. Lineage: Bacteria; Pseudomonadati; Pseudomonadota; Gammaproteobacteria; Oceanospirillales; Halomonadaceae.
UUAAACUGAAGAGUUUGAUCAUGGCUCAGAUUGAACGCUGGCGGCAGGCCUAACACAUGCAAGUCGAGCGGUAACAGAUCCAGCUUGCUGGAUGCUGACGAGCGGCGGACGGGUGAGU